AGCACCCGCGGUAAUUCCAGCUCCAAUAGCGUAUAUUAAAGUUGUUGCAGUCACAAAAGCUCGUAGUUCAGAAUACUCGGGAGUCAGUAGGUCGGUCGUGCCACUGGUAUGAACUGGUUUUACUGAUUCCUCCCUCUUGAAGAACUGUAAUGCCAUUAAUUUGGUGUUGCAGGGAAUCAGGACUGUUACUUUGAAAAAAUUAGAGUGUUUAAAGCAGGCUUUAGCUUGAAUACAUUAGCAUGGAAUAAUGAAAUAGGACGUUUGAUCCUAUUUUGUUGGUUUCUAGGAUUGACGUAAUGAUUAAUAGGGAUAGUUGGGGGCAUUAGUAUUCAAUUGUCAGAGGUGAAAUUCUUGGAUUUAUUGAAGACUAACUACUGCGAAAGCAUUUGCCAAGGAUGUUUUCAUUAAUCAAGAACGAAAGUUAGGGGAUCGAAGACGAAUCAGAUACUCGUACGUGAGUCUUAACCAUAAACUAUGCCGACUAGGGAUCGGAUGAUGUUAAUUUUUUAAUGACUCA
Molecule: ribosomal RNA, 517 nt
Filed under: Glomus sp. Glo3
Lineage: Eukaryota; Fungi; Glomeromycota; Glomeromycetes; Glomerales; Glomeraceae
Description: SSU rRNA
Rfam family: Eukaryotic small subunit ribosomal RNA
Source: RNAcentral